RNAcentral lists this non-coding RNA (22 nucleotides) under Rattus norvegicus (Norway rat). Lineage: Eukaryota; Metazoa; Chordata; Mammalia; Rodentia; Muridae. The record is from RNAcentral.
UGACCCACCCAAGAUCAAUCAC